Molecule: ribosomal RNA, 395 nt
Filed under: uncultured bacterium
Lineage: Bacteria
Description: partial 16S ribosomal RNA
Rfam family: Bacterial small subunit ribosomal RNA
Source: RNAcentral
AUACGUAGGGUGCAAGCGUUAAUCGGAAUUACUGGGCGUAAAGCGUGCGCAGGCGGUUUUGUAAGACAGUGGUGAAAUCCCCGGGCUUAACCUGGGAACUGCCAUUGUGACUGCAAGGCUGGAGUGCGGCAGAGGGGGGUGGAAUUCCGCGUGUAGCAGUGAAAUGCGUAGAGAUGCGGAGGACCCCCGAUGGCGAAGGCAAUCCCCGGGGCCUGCACGGACGCGCAGGAACGAAGGCGUGGGAAGCAAACAGGAUUAGAUACCCGGUUAGUCCACGCCCAAAACGAUGUUAAUAGGUGUUUGGGGAUUUAUUUUCUCAGUAACGAAGCUAACGCAUGAAGUAGACCGCCUGGGGAGUACGGCCGCAAGGUUAAAACUCAAAGGAAUUGACGGGG